RNAcentral lists this ribosomal RNA (253 nucleotides) under uncultured bacterium. Its description in RNAcentral is "partial 16S ribosomal RNA". It matches the Rfam family "Bacterial small subunit ribosomal RNA", at positions 524 to 776 of the family's 1533-position model. The record is from RNAcentral.
UACGUGGGGGGCAAGCGUUAUCCGGAUUUACUGGGUGUAAAGGGAGCGCAGACGGCAGUGCAAGUCUGGAGUGAAAGCCCGGGGCCCAACCCCGGAACUGCUCUGGAAACUGUGCGGCUAGAGUACUGGAGGGGCAGGCGGAAUUCCUAGUGUAGCGGUGAAAUGCGUAGAUAUUAGGAGGAACACCAGUGGCGAAGGCGGCCUGCUGGACAGUAACUGACGUUGAGGCUCGAAAGCGUGGGGAGCAAACAGG